Molecule: transfer RNA, 76 nt
Filed under: Candidatus Alectryocaccomicrobium excrementavium
Lineage: Bacteria; Bacillati; Bacillota; Clostridia
Also listed under: 1 other name
Description: tRNA-Gln
Rfam family: tRNA
About the family: Transfer RNA (tRNA) molecules are approximately 80 nucleotides in length. Their secondary structure includes four short double-helical elements and three loops (D, anti-codon, and T loops). Further hydrogen bonds mediate the characteristic L-shaped molecular structure. tRNAs have two regions of fundamental functional importance: the anti-codon, which is responsible for specific mRNA codon recognition, and the 3' end, to which the tRNAs corresponding amino acid is attached (by aminoacyl-tRNA synthetases). tRNAs cope with the degeneracy of the genetic code in two manners: having more than one tRNA (with a specific anti-codon) for a particular amino acid; and 'wobble' base-pairing, i.e. permitting non-standard base-pairing at the 3rd anti-codon position.
Source: RNAcentral
UGGGGCGUAGCCAAGCGGCUAAGGCACGAGACUUUGACUCUCGCAUUCGCAGGUUCGAUCCCUGCCGCCCCAGCCA